CGGUGAAUUACCGGUUCCCGGGCCUUGUACACACCGCCGUCACACCACGAAAGUCGGCAACACCCGAAGCCGGUGGCCCAACCCUUUUGGGGGGGAGCCGUCGAAGGUGGGGUUGGCGAUUGGGGUG
Molecule: ribosomal RNA, 127 nt
Filed under: uncultured bacterium
Lineage: Bacteria
Description: partial 16S ribosomal RNA
Rfam family: Bacterial small subunit ribosomal RNA
Source: RNAcentral